UUUAAUCUAUUUCUUUUUUAGAAAAUGAAUCAACAUUAGUCAUUAGAGAAUUUUACGGAAUAUGUUGGAAUCAUAAAAAUAGAAAAAUAGAAUAGAUUAUCUUUAAUCAUAUAAGUAAUAAUUUUAGGAAAAUAAUAAAUUGAAAACUUAUGAAUAAAAAAACGGUUGUGAAUCAACCAUUUUCAAAAAAUAAAAAUUAAACUUUUUAAACUCUUUAUUAAAAAAAAAAAAGCAAAAAUGGCCACUAAUAUAUUAGGAAAAACCAUUCAUAUACAAAAUUUCAAAAAAAUUAAUUAAUUAAAAGUGUAAAUGGAAAAAAAAGCAAAAUAAAUCAAGCAUAUUCAGUUAAAUGAUUUAACUUUAAUAAUAAAGAAAAAGUAAAAUGGCCACUAAUAAUGUAACCUUUCCAUUUUUUACUUUCUACUAUAUGAUAAAUGACAAUAAGCACACAACUCUUCAACAUGUUUCUGUCAGCAAAAAGGGCAUUACGGUCGUUCCCAUUAUACAACUUUGUCUGCCACGCAUAGCCCAAAUCCUUUACUCAUUACCUCGUCGCUUCAUCUUUCUAUUGUCAACUCCAGUCUCCAGCAUUCAUUCUCUAUGUUGAAAUUAUUUACCUUAUUCGCACCUCUUGAAGUUCGGCUUGUGCAUAAAUUUCUUGGAAAAGAAGUUAGGAUUUUGAGAGAAGAAAAAAAUGAGGAGAAAGGAGAAAAGGAAGCAAAAACAUUCAAGAUCGUCGAAGUUCGGCUUGUGGAAAUCGCCUGGGGUGAUUCCUAAAAAGUAGGCCUGCAUCUUAUUAUGAUGCAGACACAAGUAACUAGGAUCGACAUUCCAGCGCACAGUUGAUCCAGUGAGUAACUGAGUUAGUUGAUUAGCCUCCCUUCAUUCCGGAGGACAUCUUUAUCUUUCAGUUUUCAGUUGUUAGGAUGAUGGGGGGUCCUGUCCCAACAUCCAUCUUUAAUUUAAAGGCUUUAUAGACAGAUAGAGUUAGUUCUUUAGUCUUUUCAUAUCUCUUGUAAACGAUAAAACUUGAGUUUCCAUUUUGG
Solanum lycopersicum (tomato) is the source of this 1046-nucleotide long non-coding RNA. RefSeq lists it as uncharacterized. The record is from RefSeq and is a predicted model, not a curated record. NCBI's taxonomy places the organism in Eukaryota, Viridiplantae, Streptophyta, Magnoliopsida, Solanales, Solanaceae.